RNAcentral lists this ribosomal RNA (363 nucleotides) under uncultured bacterium. Its description in RNAcentral is "bacterial SSU rRNA". It matches the Rfam family "Bacterial small subunit ribosomal RNA", at positions 29 to 414 of the family's 1533-position model. The record is from RNAcentral.
AACGAACGCUGGCGGCAGGCUUAACACAUGCAAGUCGAACGGGCGUAGCAAUACGUCAGUGGCGGACGGGUGAGUAACACGUGGGAAUAUGCCUUUCGGUUCGGAACAACUCGGGGAAACCCGUGCUAAUUCCGGAUACGCCCUUACCGGGGAAAGGAUUUAUCGCCGAAAGAUUAGCCCGCGUUGGAUUAGCUAGUUGGUGAGGUAAAGGCUCACCAAGGCGACGAUCCAUAGCUGGUUUGAGAGAACGACCAGCCACACUGGGACUGAGACACGGCCCAGACUCCUACGGGGAGGCAGCAGUGGGGAAUCUUGGACAAUGGAGGAAACUCUGAUCCAGCCAUGCCGCGUGAGUGAUGAAGG